GAUGAACGCUGGCGGCGUGCCUAAUACAUGCAAGUCGAGCGAACGGACGAGAAGCUUGCUUCUCUGAUGUUAGCGGCGGACGGGUGAGUAACACGUGGAUAACCUACCUAUAAGACUGGGAUAACUUCGGGAAACCGGAGCUAAUACCGGAUAAUAUUUUGAACCGCAUGGUUCAAAAGUUAAAGACGGUCUUGCUGUCACUUAUAGAUGGAUCCGCGCUGCAUUAGCUAGUUGGUAAGGUAACGGCUUACCAAGGCAACGAUGCAUAGCCGACCUGAGAGGGUGAUCGGCCACACUGGAACUGAGACACGGUCCAGACUCCUACGGGAGGCAGCAGUAGGGAAUCUUCCGCAAUGGGCGAAAGCCUGACGGAGCAACGCCGCGUGAGUGAUGAAGGUCUUCGGAUCGUAAAACUCUGUUAUUAGGGAAGAACAUAUGUGUAAGUAACUGUGCACAUCUUGACGGUACCUAAUCAGAAAGCCACGGCUAACUACGUG
Molecule: ribosomal RNA, 497 nt
Filed under: uncultured bacterium
Lineage: Bacteria
Description: partial 16S ribosomal RNA
Rfam family: Bacterial small subunit ribosomal RNA
Source: RNAcentral